GGAGAAGCCUACAGGGAGAUCCUCGGCAGGGCGGCUUUGAUGACUUCUUCAGACUCACGGAGCAGACUGACAAAUUGACUUUCAAGUGAAAGACAUUCAUGAAGACUGGAUGAAGAAGCAAUGGGACAUCCAGGUUGAGCAAAAUAAUUCAGAAUUGUCCUUUUGGAAGUCCUGAUUAGAGAUGUUUAACUCACCUUCUCUCUUCCUCCACCACAAGGAAGGUAAAUUCCAAGUAAUUGCACAGCCUUCUCCAUUGAUGCCCAGGAAAACCUUGACAGAGAAGAAGAAGAAUGUAUGGCUACAUCUGGAGCUUCCAAGCAGAUGAGAGUGUUGUCCAUUAUAUGGGGAAAAGGUAGAAGACAAGUUCAUUGGCACCAUAAGCAGAAUAGGUGGGUUUUUUGUUGUUGUUGUUGUUGUUGUUGUU
This 424-nucleotide long non-coding RNA is filed under the name Ictidomys tridecemlineatus (thirteen-lined ground squirrel). RNAcentral's name for it is "lncRNA (ENSSTOG00000031603.1)". Lineage: Eukaryota; Metazoa; Chordata; Mammalia; Rodentia; Sciuridae. The record is from RNAcentral.